Molecule: long non-coding RNA, 200 nt
Filed under: Hordeum vulgare
Lineage: Eukaryota; Viridiplantae; Streptophyta; Magnoliopsida; Poales; Poaceae
Description: long non-coding RNA (HVUL_LNC001783)
Source: RNAcentral
UAGAACCAGAAAGUUAAGCGUGCUCGGGCUGAAGUAGUGAAAUGAUGGGUGAUCGGCGGGGAAGUUAGACGAUUUGAAAUGAGUGAUCCAUGCUAGAGCAGUGAGGAUGGGUGAUUAGAGGUUAAAUUGUCAAAUAAUUCAAAGAUUAGAAAAUUGGAAUAAAACAUAAAAAAAUAUUCAAAAAUAAAAUUUGAAAAAAA